RNAcentral lists this ribosomal RNA (232 nucleotides) under uncultured bacterium. Its description in RNAcentral is "partial 16S ribosomal RNA". It matches the Rfam family "Bacterial small subunit ribosomal RNA", at positions 86 to 334 of the family's 1533-position model. The record is from RNAcentral.
CGAAGGGGAGUGGCAGACGGGUGAGUAACGCGUGGGAACACUACCCCUCGGUUCGGAAUAACUCAGGGAAACUUGAGCUAAUACCGAAUACGGUCGAGAGGCGAAAGAUUUAUCGCCGAGGGAUUGGCCCGCGUCCGAUUAGCUAGUUGGUGAGGUAAUGGCUCACCAAGGCGACGAUCGGUAGCUGGUCUGAGAGGAUGAUCAGCCACAUUGGGACUGAGACACGGCCCAA